GGGCGUAUAACUCAGCGGUAGAGUGCUUGCUUCACACGCAAGAUGUCACAGGUUCGAAUCCUGUUACGCCCA
This 72-nucleotide transfer RNA is filed under the name Gloeobacter morelensis MG652769. Its description in RNAcentral is "tRNA-Val". It matches the Rfam family "tRNA". From Rfam's summary of the family: Transfer RNA (tRNA) molecules are approximately 80 nucleotides in length. Their secondary structure includes four short double-helical elements and three loops (D, anti-codon, and T loops). RNAcentral also lists the same sequence under 1 other name. Lineage: Bacteria; Bacillati; Cyanobacteriota; Cyanophyceae; Gloeobacterales; Gloeobacteraceae. The record is from RNAcentral.